This is a long non-coding RNA of Brienomyrus brachyistius, 395 nucleotides long. RefSeq lists it as uncharacterized. The record is from RefSeq and is a predicted model, not a curated record. The transcript has 4 exons. NCBI's taxonomy places the organism in Eukaryota, Metazoa, Chordata, Actinopteri, Osteoglossiformes, Mormyridae.
GUAAUGAUACAACAAACCAAGAGCGGUAAUGUCCUCUGCCAGUAGCUAGAAUACAGUAUUUAUGUUUAAUACCUUUACUGCUAAAUUCGUUAGAUGGGACGAAUUUGCGCUCUUUGCCUGUAAUGGGGAAGGAACAGGAUGACAAGCUGGGAAGAAUCGGGCUGGGAUAGAAGCGACCUCCAUUACGCCGUAGGCCAUUACUCCAGCGUUCCCCUACCUUGCCGAAAAACAGCCAGGAGUCCCAGGCGGUAGCUGAGGCAGGACGGGCGGUAAUUGGAGAAUAGUCUCGCUUUGGGAGAGUCGGUGAGAAAGUUGGCAGGCACAGCUACAGAAAAUAAAUUAAAAACCAAGAAAAAUCGAGGGGCAGUCAGCGUGGCAUUACGUGGCCAACGGGC